CCUACGGGGGGCAGCAGUGAGGAAUAUUGGUCAAUGGGCGGAAGUCUGAACCAGCCAAGUAGCGUGCGGGAUGAAUGCCCUAUGGGUUGUAAACUUCUUUUGUAUGGGGAUAACAUGUUCCACGUGUGGAGGUUUGUAUGUACCGUGUGAAUAAGGAUCGGCUAACUCCGUGCCAGCAGCCGCGAUAAUACGGAGGGGCUGAGCGUUAUCCGGAUUUAUUGGGUUUAAAGGGAGCGUAGGCGGUGUGUUAAGUCAGUUGUGAAAGGUUGGGGCUCAACCGUAAGAUUGCAUUGGAAACUGGCAGUCUUGAGUACAGUAGAGGUGGGCGGAAUUCGUGGUGUAGCGAUGAAAUGCGUAGAUAUUACGAAGAACUCCGAUGGCGAAGGCAGCUUACUGGACUGUAACUGACAUUGAGGCUCGAAAGCGUGGGUAGCAAACAGGAUUAGAUACCCUAGUAGUC
Molecule: ribosomal RNA, 460 nt
Filed under: uncultured bacterium
Lineage: Bacteria
Description: partial 16S ribosomal RNA
Rfam family: Bacterial small subunit ribosomal RNA
Source: RNAcentral